This 434-nucleotide ribosomal RNA is filed under the name uncultured Lachnospiraceae bacterium. Its description in RNAcentral is "partial 16S ribosomal RNA". It matches the Rfam family "Bacterial small subunit ribosomal RNA", at positions 341 to 792 of the family's 1533-position model. The record is from RNAcentral. Lineage: Bacteria; Bacillati; Bacillota; Clostridia; Lachnospirales; Lachnospiraceae.
ACGGAAGGCAGCAGUGGGGAAUAUUGCACAAUGGGCGAAAGCCUGAUGCAGCGACGCCGCGUGAGUGAAGAAGUAUCUCGGUAUGUAAAGCUCUAUCAGCAGGGAAGAAAAUGACGGUACCUGACUAAGAAGCCCCGGCUAACUACGUGCCAGCAGCCGCGGUAAUACGUAGGGGGCAAGCGUUAUCCGGAUUUACUGGGUGUAAAGGGAGCGUAGACGGUUUGGCAAGUCUGAAGUGAAAUGCGGGGGCUCAACUCCUGAACUGCUUUGGAAACUGUCGAACUAGAGUGCAGGAGAGGUAAGUGGAAUUCCUAGUGUAGCGGUGAAAUGCGUAGAUAUUAGGAGGAACACCAGUGGCGAAGGCGGCUUACUGGACGAUAACUGACGUUGAGGCUCGAAAGCGUGGGGAGCAAACAGGAUUAGAUACCCUGGUA